CCAUGGGGAUUCAUCCCCAUUAAGAUAGCACCCUUUGUUUAUAAGCACCAUUUGUUUCCUCGGCGGGCUUGCCCACCGCCAGGACCACAAUAAACCUCUUGCAGUAGCAGUAUCUUCAGUAAAAAACAAAUAUUA
This 135-nucleotide unclassified non-coding RNA is filed under the name uncultured Ascomycota. RNAcentral's name for it is "sequence contains ITS1". Lineage: Eukaryota; Fungi; Ascomycota. The record is from RNAcentral.